GGCUCAGGACGAACGCUGGCGGCGUGCUUAACACAUGCAAGUCGAACGAGGUCCAUGAAGUAGCAAUACUUCGGAAGACCUAGUGGCGAACGGGUGCGUAACACGUGAGGAACUUGUCCCGGUCUCUGGGAUAACAGUUGGAAACGACUGCUAAUACCGGAUGACGUCGGAGCGUCGCAUGGCGCGCUGACGAAAGGGUUACUGGAUCGGGAGAGCCUCGCGGCCUAUCAGCUUGUUGGUGGGGUAAUGGCCUACCAAGGCAUCGACGGGUAGCUGGUCUGAGAGGAUGAUCAGCCACACUGGGACUGAGACACGGCCCAGACUCCUACGGGAGGCAGCAGUGGGGAAUCUUGCGCAAUGGGCGAAAGCCUGACGCAGCAACGCCGCGUGCGGGAAGAAGGCCUUCGGGUUGUAAACCGCUUUCAGCAGGAACGAAAAUGACGGUACCUGCAGAAGAAGGUGCGGCCAACUACGUGCCAGCAGCCGCGGUGACACGUAGGCACCAAGCGUUGUCCGGAUUUAUUGGGCGUAAAGAGCUCGUAGGCGGUUCGGUAAGUCAGGUGUGAAAACUUUGGGCUUAACCCAAAGCGUGCAUCUGAUACUGCUGUGACUAGAGUUCGGUAGGGGAGUGGGGAAUUCCUAGUGUAGCGGUGAAAUGCGCAGAUAUUAGGAGGAACACCGGUGGCGAAGGCGCCACUCUGGGCCGAAACUGACGCUGAGGAGCGAAAGCGUGGGUAGCAAACAGGAUUAGAUACCCUGGUAGUCCACGCCGUAAACGUUGGGCACUAGGUGUGGGUUUCAACCAACGAAAUCCGCGCCGUCGCUAACGCAUUAAGUGCCCCGCCUGGGGAGUACGGCCGCAGGGUAAAACUCAAA
This 876-nucleotide ribosomal RNA is filed under the name uncultured bacterium. RNAcentral's name for it is "bacterial SSU rRNA". It matches the Rfam family "Bacterial small subunit ribosomal RNA", at positions 21 to 905 of the family's 1533-position model. The record is from RNAcentral.